AUUGAACGCUGGCGGCAGGCCUAACACAUGCAAGUCGAACGAGUGGCGGACGGGAGAGUAAUGUCUGGGAAACUGCCUGAUGGAGGGGGAUAACUACUGGAACCGGUAGCUAAUACCGCAUACCAUCGGAUGUGCCUAGAUGGGAUUAGCUAGUGGGGGGGGUAAAGGCUCACCUAGGCGACGAUCCCUAGCCGGUCUGAGAGGAUGACCAGCCACACUGGAACUGAGACACGGUCCAGACUCCUACGGGAGGCAGCAGUGGGGAAUAUUGCACAAUGGGCGCAAGCCUGAUGCAGCCAUGCCGCGUGUGUGAAGAAGGCCUUCGGGUUGUAAAGCACUUUCAGCGGGGAGGCGUUACCCGCAGAAGAAGCACCGGCUAACUCCGUGCCAGCAGCCGCGGUAAUUC
This 406-nucleotide ribosomal RNA is filed under the name uncultured bacterium. RNAcentral describes it as "partial 16S ribosomal RNA". It matches the Rfam family "Bacterial small subunit ribosomal RNA", at positions 30 to 526 of the family's 1533-position model. The record is from RNAcentral.